RNAcentral lists this ribosomal RNA (253 nucleotides) under uncultured bacterium. RNAcentral's name for it is "partial 16S ribosomal RNA". It matches the Rfam family "Bacterial small subunit ribosomal RNA", at positions 524 to 776 of the family's 1533-position model. The record is from RNAcentral.
UACGUAGGUGGCAAGCGUUGUCCGGAACUACUGGGUGUAAAGGGAGCGCAGGCGGGAAGCCAAGUCAGCUGUGAAAACUACGGGCUUAACUUGUAGACUGCAGUUGAAACUGGUUUUCUUGAGUGAAGUAGAGGUUGGCGGAAUUCCGAGUGUAGCGGUGAAAUGCGUAGAUAUUCGGAGGAACACCGGUGGCGAAGGCGGCCAACUGGGCUUUAACUGACGCUGAGGCUCGAAAGUGUGGGGAGCAAACAGG